UUUAGGUAGAGGUUGCGGAAAACAAGAUUAAGCUGAAACAGCACGACAAAGCAUUGAAGUCAGCCCAAAGGGAAUUCCGCCGAAAGAUUUAAUUUGUCAGAUUAAAGUCUUGGGCAUACAGAAAAUAUCUGUAUGACUGACAUUAGUUUACUGCUGAUGUAGAGCUAUCA
RNAcentral lists this non-coding RNA (170 nucleotides) under uncultured Fusobacterium sp. RNAcentral's name for it is "Lysine riboswitch". It matches the Rfam family "Lysine riboswitch aptamer". Rfam says of the family: Riboswitches are metabolite binding domains within certain messenger RNAs that serve as precision sensors for their corresponding targets. Allosteric rearrangement of mRNA structure is mediated by ligand binding, and this results in modulation of gene expression. Lineage: Bacteria; Fusobacteriati; Fusobacteriota; Fusobacteriia; Fusobacteriales; Fusobacteriaceae. The record is from RNAcentral.